UGCACCCAUCUGUUCUUCUCUGCAAAAAUGUCUUGGCCUUUUCCACACAGAGCCAGUGGGUGGUGGGGGUGACCACUGCAGGUGGACAGGCCAGGUUGCAAGAGCCCCCAUUCUAGAGAGGGUCCUGUCCCAUACCCAGAAGGAAGGAAUGCUGCACAGAGGCCAAGAAGAAUCCAGACAGACAGGCCUUGCCGGGCUUCCCCGCUCAGUCUGUUUGUUUUAGACCAUGCCUUCUUUGUCCAGUCAUAUUUCUACAAGCCUGACCAUACUUUGCUGAACCAAAGCAUGAACAUGGACAGUUUGCUCUAUAUCUUUGGGUCUUCAUCCUGAAGGAUCCUGUGUCACAUAUAAAACUAUGAU
This 360-nucleotide long non-coding RNA is filed under the name Homo sapiens (human). RNAcentral describes it as "HSALNT0203950". Lineage: Eukaryota; Metazoa; Chordata; Mammalia; Primates; Hominidae. The record is from RNAcentral.